UCAGACGCAGCCACCCCGCCUCUACAGUCCCCUGGGGAAGGAGCUGCUUCCUCGGCACGUUGUACGUCACAUGGAACUUCCUGCUGGUCCGUCUGGGUUUCUCUGUCCCUUCCCCCAGUGGAAAGGAAAGCGGAACAUCAGCAAAUACACUAAAUUCCCUUACAGAUGACAGAACGUGCAGCCUGCGGGGGUGACCAUGGCUCCUUCACAUGCUGUCAGUAGAAUAGCCAGGGAGGAGAAAUCCAGCGCCGCACGAUGGACGCCGCCCUAUCGCCUUUUAUGAAGAGGAGUAGAAGCAGAGUUUUUUAAAAAAACAUUUUUGAUGUUACUGGUCCUUUAAGCCUGUCAGUCAGGGCUGUGACCAAUUCCUGUGAGAGAAUGAACAGAGAAUCCCACUCUUCAUUUCAGCCUAGCUUCUAACCUAUAAACAUCUCUCUGCAGCUCUGAUAUAAUGACAGUUUGAGGAGGUAAAAUGUUUUCAAAACGUCUUUCUGCAUCAUUAAAUGUUUUGAGGAAGGAUGAGUAAUAUAUCUGAAUAUGAAGGUUAUAUAAAAUGUCUGUAUUUUAGGUAACAUUGUCUGUUGUUUUCUAGUUUGCUAGGUUUAGCAAUUUACUUGGCAAGAGGAUAAGGUUACUAACACAUUUAAAGAGAUACUGACACCAGAAAAUGAACUUUUUUUUUUAUCAUAACAUUGUCUUUGAAUGCUAUUUAUAAUCUUGUCAUAAAAGUAUUUACCUGAUGCUUUUAUAUUACCUUUCUUACCCCAUGUUCCUCUAUGAGGGGGUCUGCCAUAUUUGUUCUGCAGGAGUCCGUUAGCAUUAGAAACGCUGAGGUUAAGAAGGGUCAGUCAGGUAUAGGAACUUCAAGUAACAAUUACUUACAAAAGCAGAACUAUCCGCAUAAAAAACAAAAAAUCAACAUGACCCAUAGGAAAAUUUUCAUGUAGAUUAAUAUUUUGAAAAGAAAAGAAAAUGUUUAACCGAAACCUAAAUUGCAUGACUGUAAGGAGCGGAUUUAUCAAAAGUCUAAAUGAAACCCAAGAAGAAAAAUCUCAGAAGUUUCUAUAGAAGGCUAUGGAAAUUGUCUCAAACAACUUUAUUAAUUAUAUUAUUAAAGCAUUCACGAUUCACAGCAUCACAGAAAAUUAAUGUAAUUUUCAGUUGUGAGCAAUUUUCUUUUAAAGAAAACAUGACUGCGAAUAUUCUGACCAAAUAAAGUGCUCAAGUAAAAAAAAAAA
This is a long non-coding RNA of Xenopus laevis (African clawed frog), 1238 nucleotides long. RefSeq lists it as uncharacterized. The record is from RefSeq and is a predicted model, not a curated record. Lineage: Eukaryota; Metazoa; Chordata; Amphibia; Anura; Pipidae. The transcript has 2 exons.